GUCGGGAGUCGCUCACUACAAAAAUUUAUUUUAUAUUUUUAAUUCUAAUGGCCAUUCAUUUGAACGUAUUGGCCAUUUUGAAUAGAUUCAAAUUGGUGAACAUUUUCAGUGGUUACGUUCGUGUGAAGAGUUGGAUGACCCCGGAAGACUCGGAGAUGGCCAUAAGCGGCCGAGGAACAGUCAGUUUUGGACCAGCAGUCGAGAAGAUAAGUUCUGUUGAUUACCGGUUCACUCAAGAGUAUUUAUUCUUUAAGUUCUUUUAGUUUCUUAACUAUAAUUAGUUCUGUUUUAUAAUUUAUUAGUGUAUCAUUAUUUACAGACUGUUUUACACUCGC
RNAcentral lists this long non-coding RNA (335 nucleotides) under Androctonus crassicauda. Lineage: Eukaryota; Metazoa; Arthropoda; Arachnida; Scorpiones; Buthidae. The record is from RNAcentral.